RNAcentral lists this ribosomal RNA (772 nucleotides) under uncultured Neocallimastigales. RNAcentral's name for it is "partial large subunit ribosomal RNA". It matches the Rfam family "Eukaryotic large subunit ribosomal RNA", at positions 24 to 643 of the family's 3401-position model. Lineage: Eukaryota; Fungi; Neocallimastigomycota; Neocallimastigomycetes; Neocallimastigales. The record is from RNAcentral.
UACGACUACAUAUCAGGCAUAUCAAUAAGCGGAGGAAAAGAGACUAACUAGGAUUCCCUCAGUAACGGCGAGUGAAGCGGGAAGAGCUCAAAUUUGAAAUCUUCAAGGUUUUACCUUGACGAUUGUAGUUUAAAGAAGUGUUUUCUGUUGGAGUUUUGGUAAAAGUUCUUUGGAAUAGGACAUCAUAGAGGGUGAGAAUCCCGUAUUUGACCAUUACUUUCCAGCUUUGUGAUACACUUUCAAGAGUCGGAUUGUUUGGGAAUGCAGUCCAAAAUGGGUGGUAAAUUUCAUCUAAAGCUAAAUAUUGGCGAGAGACCGAUAGCGAACAAGUACCGUGAGGGAAAGAUGAAAAGAACUUUGAAAAGAGAGUUAAACAGUACGUGAAAUUGUCAAAAGGGAAGCGUUUGACACCAGUGUUGUUUCUACGAAAAUCAAUUUAUGAUGGCUUGAUGCUAAGCUUUAAGACUUUAUCCGCUUGUUGUUUAGUUUUCUUGUCUUUGUGAAUGCACUUUUCGUGGAACAAGUCAACAUCAAUUUCUUUUGCUGUAAAAGGGUAAGAGGAAGGUGGCUUCGGCUUCGGUUGAAGUGUUUAUAGCCUUUUAUCUCUGCAGUCGGAGAGAUUGAGGUCUGCAGCGUAGACUCUUCGGGGUUAGAUACGUCGGUGCUAAGCUAUAGCUUUUCAUAGACAACUUGUUGACUAUGUUUAGUCAUGUGGCUUACCCGCUGGCGCUAUUUUACCUACGCUUAGGAUGUUGACACACGCGCGUGCUCG